This is a small nucleolar RNA of Rattus norvegicus (Norway rat), 119 nucleotides long. Ensembl annotates it as small nucleolar RNA SNORA17. The record is from Ensembl. NCBI's taxonomy places the organism in Eukaryota, Metazoa, Chordata, Mammalia, Rodentia, Muridae.
UGUGCGUGCAUUGCGGGUGUGACUGCUGUGUCACAUGUACAUCGGUCAGUGGCAGAGAGGCAACGUCUACACUCAGUGGUCUGACAUGUGAUCUCCUGAAUGAUUAGCAGCCUAACACU